GCUAGCUACAGGCUUAACACAUGCAAGUCGAGGGGCAUCAGGAAGAAAGCUUGCUUUCUUUGCUGGCGACCGGCGCACGGGUGAGUAACACGUAUCCAACCUGCCCUUUACUCGGGGAUAGCCUUUCGAAAGAAAGAUUAAUACCCGAUAGCAUAAUGAUUCCGCAUGGUUUCAUUAUUAAAGGAUUCCGGUAAAGGAUGGGGAUGCGUUCCAUUAGGUUGUUGGUGAGGUAACGGCCCACCAAGCCUUCGAUGGAUAGGGGUUCUGAGAGGAAGGUCCCCCACAUUGGAACUGAGACACGGUCCAAACUCCCACGGGAGGCAGCAGUGAGGAAUAUUGGUCAAUGGGCGCUAGCCUGAACCAGCCAAGUAGCGUGAAGGAUGAAGGCUCUAUGGGUCGUAAACUUCUUUUAUAUAAGAAUAAAGUGCAGUAUGUAUACUGUUUUGUAUGUAUUAUAUGAAUAAGGAUCGGCUAACUCCGUGCCAGCAGCCGCGGUAAUACGGAGGAUUCGAGCGUUAUCCGGAUUUAUUGGGUUUAAAGGGAGCGUAGGUGGACUGGUAAGUCAGUUGUGAAAGUUUGCGGCUCAACCGUAAAAUUGCAGUUGAUACUGUCAGUCUUGAGUACAGUAGAGGUGGGCGGAAUUCGUGGUGUAGCGGUGAAAUGCUUAGAUAUCACGAAGAACUCCGAUUGCGAAGGCAGCUCACUGGACUGCAACUGACACUGAUGCUCGAAAGUGUGGGUAUCAAACAGGAUUAGAUACCCUGGUAGUCCACACAGUAAACGAUGAAUACUCGCUGUUUGCGAUAUACAGUAAGCGGCCAAGCGAAAGCAUUAAGUAUUCCACCUGGGGAGUACGCCGGCAACGGUGAAACUCAAAGGAAUUGACGGGGGCCCGCACAAGCGGAGGAACAUGUGGUUUAAUUCGAUGAUACGCGAGGAACCUUACCCGGGCUUAAAUUGCAGUGGAAUGAUGUGGAAACAUGUCAGUGAGCAAUCACCGCUGUGAAGGUGCUGCAUGGUUGUCGUCAGCUCGUGCCGUGAGGUGUCGGCUUAAGUGCCAUAACGAGCGCAACCCUUAUCUUUAGUUACUAACAGGUUAUGCUGAGGACUCUGGAGAGACUGCCGUCGUAAGAUGUGAGGAAGGUGGGGAUGACGUCAAAUCAGCACGGCCCUUACGUCCGGGGCUACACACGUGUUACAAUGGGGGGUACAGAAGGCAGCUAGCGGGUGACCGUAUGCUAAUCCCAAAAUCCUCUCUCAGUUCGGAUCGAAGUCUGCAACCCGACUUCGUGAAGCUGGAUUCGCUAGUAAUCGCGCAUCAGCCACGGCGCGGUGAAUACGUUCCCGGGCCUUGUACACACCGCCCGUCAAGCCAUGGGAGCCGGGGGUACCUGAAGUACGUAACCGAAAGGAUCGUCCUAGGGU
RNAcentral lists this ribosomal RNA (1425 nucleotides) under uncultured organism. Its description in RNAcentral is "SSU rRNA". It matches the Rfam family "Bacterial small subunit ribosomal RNA". The record is from RNAcentral.